RNAcentral lists this ribosomal RNA (427 nucleotides) under uncultured prokaryote. RNAcentral's name for it is "bacterial SSU rRNA". It matches the Rfam family "Bacterial small subunit ribosomal RNA", at positions 355 to 774 of the family's 1533-position model. The record is from RNAcentral.
UGGGGAAUUUUGGACAAUGGGCGAAAGCCUGAUCCAGCCAUGCCGCGUGCAGGAUGAAGGCCUUCGGGUUGUAAACUGCUUUUGUACGGAACGAAAAGUCUCUUUCUAAUAAAGAGGGAUCAUGACGGUACCGUAAGAAUAAGCACCGGCUAACUACGUGCCAGCAGCCGCGGUAAUACGUAGGGUGCAAGCGUUAAUCGGAAUUACUGGGCGUAAAGCGUGCGCAGGCGGUUAUAUAAGACAGUUGUGAAAUCCCCGGGCUCAACCUGGGAACUGCAUCUGUGACGUUAUAGCUAGAGUACGGUAGAGGGGGAUGGAAUUCCGCGUGUAGCAGUGAAAUGCGUAGAUAUGCGGAGGAACACCGAUGGCGAAGGCAAUCCCCUGGACCUGUACUGACGCUCAUGCACGAAAGCGUGGGGAGCAAACA